This 571-nucleotide ribosomal RNA is filed under the name uncultured bacterium. Its description in RNAcentral is "partial 16S ribosomal RNA". It matches the Rfam family "Bacterial small subunit ribosomal RNA", at positions 355 to 918 of the family's 1533-position model. The record is from RNAcentral.
UGGGGAAUUUUGGACAAUGGGCGAAAGCCUGAUCCAGCAAUGCCGCGUGUGUGAAGAAGGCCUUCGGGUUGUAAAGCACUUUUGUCCGGAAAGAAAUCCUUGGCUCUAAUACAGUCGGGGGAUGACGGUACCGGAAGAAUAAGCACCGGCUAACUACGUGCCAGCAGCCGCGGUAAUACGUAGGGUGCAAGCGUUAAUCGGAAUUACUGGGCGUAAAGCGUGCGCAGGCGGUUUGCUAAGACCGAUGUGAAAUCCCCGGGCUCAACCUGGGAACUGCAUUGGUGACUGGCAGGCUAGAGUAUGGCAGAGGGGGGUAGAAUUCCACGUGUAGCAGUGAAAUGCGUAGAGAUGUGAAGGAAUACCGAUGGCGAAGGCAGCCCCCUGGGCCAAUACUGACGCUCAUGCACGAAAGCGUGGGGAGCAAACAGGAUUAGAUACCCUGGUAGUCCACGCCCUAAAACGAUGUCAACUAGUUGUUGGGGAUUCAUUUCCUUAGUAACGUAGCUAACGCGUGAAGUUGACCGCCUGGGGAGUACGGUCGCAAGAUUAAAACUCAAAUGAAUUGACGGGG